CCUACGGGUGGCAGCAGUGAGGAAUAUUGGUCAAUGGACGAGAGUCUGAACCAGCCAAGUAGCGUGAAGGAUGACUGCCCUAUGGGUUGUAAACUUCUUUUAUAUGGGAAUAAAACGUUCCACGUGUGGGAUUUUGUAUGUACCAUAUGAAUAAGGAUCGGCUAACUCCGUGCCAGCAGCCGCGGUAAUACGGAGGAUCCGAGCGUUAUCCGGAUUUAUUGGGUUUAAAGGGAGCGUAGGUGGAUUGUUAAGUCAGUUGUGAAAGUUUGCGGCUCAACCGUAAAAUUGCAGUUGAAACUGGCAGUCUUGAGUACAGUAGAGGUGGGCAGAAUUCGUGGUGUAGCGGUGAAAUGCUUAGAUAUCACGAAGAACUCCGAUUGCGAAGGCAGUUCACUGGACUGCAACUGACACUGAGGCUCGAAAGUGUGGGUAUCAAACAGGAUUAGAUACCCUAGUAGUC
RNAcentral lists this ribosomal RNA (460 nucleotides) under uncultured bacterium. RNAcentral describes it as "partial 16S ribosomal RNA". It matches the Rfam family "Bacterial small subunit ribosomal RNA", at positions 338 to 795 of the family's 1533-position model. The record is from RNAcentral.